RNAcentral lists this small RNA (500 nucleotides) under Arabidopsis thaliana (thale cress). Its description in RNAcentral is "ATSL271500". The record is from RNAcentral. Lineage: Eukaryota; Viridiplantae; Streptophyta; Magnoliopsida; Brassicales; Brassicaceae.
AAGUAUUGUAUCCUUGUUAAAAGAUACAAAGACAAAGACGCAUACAGACUUCGGCUACACCAUCAAAGCUUUGAGAACAAAGAAGAAGCUUGGUUAGUGUUUUGGAGUCGAAUAUGACUUGAUGUCAUGUGUAUGAUUGAGUAUAAGAACUUAAACCGCAAUCAGAUCUUAAAAGCCUAAGUAGUGUUUCCUUGUUAGAAGAUACAAAGUCAAAGACUCAUACGUAGUUUAGCUACACCAUCAAAGCUUUGAGAAGCAAGAAGAAGCUUGGUUAGUGUUUAGGAGUCAAAUAUGACUUGAUAUCAUGUGUAUGACUGAGUAUAACAACUAGAACCGCAACCGGAUCUUAAAAGCCUAUGUAUUGUAUCCUUGUUAGAAGAUACAAAGACAAAGACUCAUAUGGACUUCGGCUACACCAUCAAAUCUUUGAGAAGCAAGAAGAAUAUUGGUUAGUGUUUUGGAGUGAAAUAUGACUAGAUGUCAUGUGUAUGAGUAAGUAU